GUGUGAAUCACAGGGCGCUUCUCCCUUGGCACGGUGGCAUGCAUGUAUCGAUGAUGGCGGUAGCCUGGUCCCUGGUGAGUGUGCGGUGCAUGCAGGUAGUUAGCCGUGCGUGCCAAAGGAGAAUUGCCCUGCCAUUCGCCU
This 141-nucleotide microRNA precursor is filed under the name Triticum aestivum (bread wheat). Its description in RNAcentral is "mir-399 microRNA precursor family". It matches the Rfam family "mir-399 microRNA precursor family". Rfam says of the family: mir-399 was identified in both Arabidopsis thaliana and Oryza sativa computationally and was later experimentally verified. mir-399 is thought to target mRNAs coding for a phosphatase transporter. The mature sequence is excised from the 3' arm of the hairpin. The record is from Rfam by way of RNAcentral. Lineage: Eukaryota; Viridiplantae; Streptophyta; Magnoliopsida; Poales; Poaceae.